Molecule: long non-coding RNA, 534 nt
Filed under: Triticum aestivum (bread wheat)
Lineage: Eukaryota; Viridiplantae; Streptophyta; Magnoliopsida; Poales; Poaceae
Description: long non-coding RNA (TAES_LNC004438)
Source: RNAcentral
UCGCCCCUCUCAAGUCUCACCGAUUGAGCCCUCUCCACCAGAACAUCCUUUCCCCUGCAUCGUAUAGGGCGUGGCGGCUGGGAAGCAAUCUCUGGUUGAGAACAAUCCGUCGGCUGACCGCUGAUCUGCUCGCCUCCGCCGACUUUACGGUAAUGGCACGACCACCAGGCCACUUUGUCUCCAACGACGUUUCGGGAUAUAUCAGGAUGCAGUCCCGUGCCGGUCGGCCGGCUCUGAUCGUCGGGCUCCUUGCCUUCGUGCACCUUGCCCAAGAUGCUGAUUUGUAUUCUAUCUUCUCCUAAUAUCUCAGUUCGGGCGCUGCUGGGAGGUUAAUUCCGCAGGGAGUCUCGAGCAAUCUUUAUUGAAGCACUUCUGAUGUAAGCAUGCAUACUGACACUAUGUACUGGCCUUACUUGAAACAUCUCAUUUCAAUCUAUUAUGCAGCGCGGAUGACUGUUUUAUAAGUGAAUUUAUUUUCUUUGUUCCAUAUGUGUGUAUCCUACUAUGUAGAUCAUGAAAGGCUAUCAAGCAAAC